AAUCAGUGUGUGUGUUAGUGGAAGCGUCUGGAAAGGCGUGCGAUACAGGGUGACAGCCCCGUACACAAAAAUGCACAUACUGUGAGCUCGAUGAGUAGGGCGGGACACGUGGUAUCCUGUCUGAAUAUGGGGGGACCAUCCUCCAAGGCUAAAUACUCCUGACUGACCGAUAGUGAACCAGUACCGUGAGGGAAAGGCGAAAAGAACCCCGGCGAGGGGAGUGAAAAAGAACCUGAAACCGUGUACGUACAAGCAGUGGGAGCCUCUUUAUGGGGUGACUGCGUACCUUUUGUAUAAUGGGUCAGCGACUUAUAUUCUGUAGCAAGGUUAACCGAAUAGGGGAGCCGAAGGGAAACCGAGUCUUAACUGGGCGUUAAGUUGCAGGGUAUAGACCCGAAACCCGGUGAUCUAGCCAUGGGCAGGUUGAAGGUUGGGUAACACUAACUGGAGGACCGAACCGACUAAUGUUGAAAAAUUAGCGGAUGACUUGUGGCUGGGGGUGAAAGGCCAAUCAAACCGGGAGAUAGCUGGUUCUCCCCGAAAGCU
RNAcentral lists this ribosomal RNA (546 nucleotides) under Escherichia coli. RNAcentral describes it as "partial 23S ribosomal RNA". It matches the Rfam family "Bacterial large subunit ribosomal RNA", at positions 315 to 867 of the family's 2925-position model. The record is from RNAcentral. Lineage: Bacteria; Pseudomonadati; Pseudomonadota; Gammaproteobacteria; Enterobacterales; Enterobacteriaceae.